Long non-coding RNA from Oncorhynchus tshawytscha (Chinook salmon), 4917 nucleotides. The record is from Ensembl. Lineage: Eukaryota; Metazoa; Chordata; Actinopteri; Salmoniformes; Salmonidae.
GGGGGGGAGGCUGUUUGCUCUCUCCACAGCCUCAUGUUUGCCCUUUGUCUCUGCCAAGAAUAUCUCAAACCAUGAAGCUCUCUCCAGUCUCCUGAUUUACCGAGGCCAGACUGUAAAUCUAGAUCAAUAAUUAGGACAAAUGACCACUUAUAGAUGUGAAAUCGCUCUACUAACAUCCAAAAUGAUUAGCAUAAUGUAGCAUCAUUUAAUCCAAUUUAUUUGUAUUUUUAUACAAUGUUACCUGAAAUUGUCAUUUGUUCUCGCUCUGCACAGAAACAAAGUGCCAAUGCAGCUUCAAAUGUUUAUUACAAACAAUAUUAACUUCAGUUUAGUGUAGGAUGAGGGUACCGUUAGACAGAAAUGUACUAAUUUGGGCAACAAUCAAGUUCAAUCAAUCAAAUGUAUUUAUAAAGCCCAUUUUACAUCAGCCAAUGUCACAAAGUGCUGUAUAGAAACCCAGUCUAAAACCCCAAACAGAAGCAAUGCAGAUGUAGAAGCACAAAGGCCAGAAACAUAAAUAGACUGAACACUAGAGGCCUAGAGGCAUUUGGAGGGCAGGGCUGUGUUUUUGGCACGGCUCUGUAUUUACGUAGAAGAGCCACUAUGUCUGUUUGGACUAGAUGUUUCGGUGGCUGUGAAUACCUGUAUUCAGCCGUUUGGGAGAGGCAGGCAGACAGGACACUGAGGCCAUGGACAGUCAGGAGCCGAGAACAGCCACAGUUUGAAUAUGAUGCCCUCAGACCGGGUGCCCCCUCCUCCCCCUGACCACCUGUGUGUUUGUACAUGCAAGGAUAUGAAAUAGCAGCAAACAUGAUGUGAUGUGUGUAUUUAAGAGGCAUCCUGCUCUGACAGACAUGCACCCUGCCAGUCUGUCCAUCCAGUUUCUGUUUAGGUGAGCGCUGAUCGCCAUAUAACAAUGUAGCCUCUGUUUGUGUUUCAAUGAUGGCCUUCAAUUGACACAUUGAUAUGUAGUAGAUGUGCCAAAAGAUUAUUUAUAAUGUUCCGUAAUUAGAUUUUGAUGAAUUUUCUAAUCUUAUCCUGCACAAGUGGAAAGUAAACAUUCGCUGAAUGUUCUGCACAGAAUGAGCCAAGUGGUUUUGACUAAAAUGUUAAAAUCAUGUGUACCUUAUUUUUUUUGCUGGGAAAGAUACAUUUGAAUUUCAUAUUUAAUCAAAUCAAACUAAUUGGCUAAGUGCAGCAAAUGUAGUAUGUGUACAGUAGCCCUUAUCAGUAAUCCUGGCACGUUCCCCCAGUCUAGCUCUGGUACAAGAGUAAAUUGCAACUCAAACUUUCAGGUAAAUCGUGCUUUUGUGGAAUAUUUUAAUCACAACGCAUCUUGUGUGUAUCUACACCUGUCGACAAAUGUGAACACGGCAGAUCAUGGGAUGCACGUCAACACUAGGUACAGUAUAAAGCCACCCUAAGCCAAAUCUAUAACAUUCAUGGCCCUUGUCUGACAGCCAUAGCUCCACAGUGUUGUUACAACUACAAACACAGAUUAGUCCUCAGGAUUUCACAGCAGAGAACUGCCACUGCACCAGGGGACUGGAAAUGGUCACAGGGGGAUAGAGAGAGUGGGAGGAAGAAAAGUGGGUGGCAGAGAAGGGGUUGAAAUAGAGGGGGUUAGAGUCCCCAGAGAUUAACCUCCUUCUCUUCCUCUCUCUUUUCAAAGCAAGCGAGACACCCAUGUCCUCUGUUAUUACAGAAGCAGUAAUUUUACAUUAGAAAGAGAUAUAAAAUGGCAUUAUAAAAAAUUGCAUUAUGGCAAGUUGCACUGUUGAGAGAUUAUUUUAACGUUAACACGCCACAUAAUUUCUCCACUCCUCCUAUUUUUCCCUUCCCUGAUGGCCAGGGUUAGUGAUGGAAGGGGGAAAUAUACUUAAUAUCAAAUGUUGCUCUCAAACGGCCUCAUUUCUUGGAUGAGUGAAUUGCCCUGUCUCUUCUGGGCGCGCCACUGGUAAUGCUGAGUGGCAGGUACUCCAGCGCAGUCGCAAAGGAGGUGACGUUACGGCAACCGGCGGCCUCCUGGACAACCGUUGUAGUGGGAGACGCUCACCAGACACAGACCCAGAUGCUGCUAACAUUUCCACCAAUUAGGACUGGGACAGCUGUCUGACCAAAAGCAGAGCAGCGGCAAACGGAGAGAACAAAGCCAUCACUGUCAGACACGGCGGUUGAGUGACAACAGAGCAGAGAGAGGGAGAAAGACAGAGGGAGAAAGACAUAGGGAGAAAGACAGAGGGAGAAAGACAGAGAGAGAAAGACAGAGAAAGACAGAUAAAGACAGAGGGAGAAAGACAGAGAGAGAAAGACAGAGGGAGAAAGACAGAGAGAGAAAGACAGAGGAAGAAAGACAGAGGGAGAAAGACAGAGAGAGAAAGACAGAGGGAGAAAGACAGAGAGAGAAAGACAGAUGGAGAAAGAGAGAGAGAGAAAGACAGAUGGAGAAAGACAGAGAGAGAGAAAGACAGAUGGAGAAAGAGAGAGAGAGAAAGACAGAUGGAGAAAGAGAGAGAGAGAAAGACAGAGAGAAAAACAGAUGGAGAAAGACAGAGAGAGAAAGACAGAGAGAGAAAGACAGAGAGAGAAAGACAGAGGGAGAAAGACAGAUGGAGAAAGAGAGAGAGAGAAAGAGAAAGACAGAGAGAGAAAGACAGAGGGAGAAAGACAGAGGGAGAAAGACAGAGAGAGAAAGACAGAGAGAGAAAGACAGAGAGAGAAAGACAGAGGGAGAAAGACAGAGGGAGAAAGACAGAGGGAGAAAGACAGAGAGAGAAAGACAGAGGGAGAAAGACAGAGGGAGAAAUACAGAGAGAAAGAGACUGAGAGAGAAGGGAAAAUGGAGUGAGAGAAAUAAAUUACUAGGGCUGUUGCCUGGUUACUGGGGAACUUAUUGAUUCAGGAACUUCAUCAACUUGUUUCAAAAGAGACAGAGGAAAAGAAAGAAAUGAAAAAAGGUCCUCUACCUCCUUCUACCUUGUUGUCUGUUACAGCCUGCCUCUUGCAGAGUGCCCCAGAAACACACCAUCCUUUGUGUGACAGUCUAAGAUGUCCCUCCUAUUUCCUGUCCUGAAGCCUCUGAAGCGUGGCUCUUCUAGGAGGCUGGAAGUACUUAUUUGUCAUUUCCUCCCUGGGCUGAGAGAGGCUGGUUCAAUUCCCCUGAAGUCUUCCCAGCUGGAGGGAAGGAGAGAGGAGAGAGGAAGACAAGAGGGAGAGAGGGAGACAAGAGAGGGAGAAAGGGAGAGGGAUGAGCCUCCAAUAGUGCCACUAACAUCAGGCAGUUACUUACAAAGAGUACCUGUUCUGACACUUGUCUGUAAACCCUCCCCAUACAGACCUUUUAUGAAAUAUAUCCUUUCCUAAGACAAUAUCUGAAGUAGGUUAAUUGGUUAAUUAUUUAAAAAGGUAAAAUGAAAAAUAAUAAGAAAUAAAUGUAAGCAAUUCUUUGGGGACAUUUUUAUGCUCAAAAUGACAUUCUUUGUUCAUCUCUAUUUCUGUCUCCCUCUCUGUCUGCUAUGCAUCUAGAUCUGACAUUGAAGGGAGAGGUGUGGUCAUCCUUAACAUCCACAUUAAUAGCAUCCUUAUUAUUAUCAUACUCAUUAUUAUCAUCCUCAUUAUUAUCGUCAUCAUUGUCAUCGUCACAUGGCCACGAGAGUGGCGUUUGGGUAAUGAGAGAGCUGUAAAGAGAGAACAGAAGAGGAGAGGCUCCAGCCAGGGUUUACCAGGGCGGUAGCAGUAGCUCGGCUUGUCCACAGUACAUUUAAAGCCCUGUUGUCUAACAGAGCGUCCUCAAUACACCAUAUUGUUUGGGAAUUAAGUACAGCAUAGAGAGUUUGUAAUUAUAUGUUCACAAUAACGGGUUUUCAGAAAUGGCCUGAAAAUAGCUCAGAGGGUUCCGGUCUGUGUUUCUCUGCUACAAAGUACAGAACAAUGGGCUGACUGACUAUAAAAUGGCAGGGGGUCUCAGAAUAGCAGCAAAGAGCUCCCUUCUUAAUACUUGUAGAUUUCAAGGGGGCUGGUGCCAUUGUCCAGUGGUUUCCUGAUUUGCACUGGGGUUUCAAAAUGUAGGUUCCCGGCUCCAAGAAACUAUUGUUUUAGAGGAAAGAAAAGGGCAAGUGGAGGUUGGUGUAGAAGAGGGGAAAGCAAAUUAAAUGAAUUAGAGAGGAGGAGGAUAUGAGAGAAGAGGUGAGAAGAGAAGAGAUGCUAACUGAUUAGGAUUAUUAGUGGUGAAGGGAUAAGAAGAGAAGGUAAGUGAUUAGGAUUAUUAGUGGUGAAGGGAUAAGAAGAGAAGGUAACUGAUUAGGAUUAUUAGUGGUGAAGGGAUAAGAAGAGAAGGUAAGUGAUUAGGAUUAUUAGUGGUGAAGGGAUAAGAAGAGAAGGUAAGUGAUUAGGAUUAUUAGUGGUGAAGGGAUAAGAAGAGAAGGUAACUGAUUAGGAUUAUUAGUGGUGAAGGGAUAAGAAGAGAAGGUUAUUGAUUAGGAUUAUUAGUGGUGAAGGGAUAAGAAGAGAAGGUAAGUGAUUAGGAUUAUUAGUGGUGAAGGGAUAAGAAGAGAAGGUAACUGAUUAGGAUUAUUAGUGGUGAAGGGAUAAGAAGAGAAGGUAAGUGAUUAGGAUUAUUAGUGGUGAAGGGAUAAGAAGAGAAGGUAAGUGAUUAGGAUUAUUAGUGGUGAAGGGAUAAGAAGAGAAGGUAAGUGAUUAGGAUUAUUAGUGGUGAAGGGAUAAGAAGAAAAGAGCUGCUGAGGAUAAGACACAGCAUUUCCACUUGUAUUAAGACCUUCACAUUUUAGAGAUACCAACUGGCCCAUACUAUCUGGUAUAAGGAUAAAUAAUAUCAUUAUAAUACAGAGGAGGUGAAAGCAGCCUGGGUCAGCAGCUGUAUGACUGGACCAACAGAGAGGAGAGGAAGGAGGAAGAGGA